This 396-nucleotide ribosomal RNA is filed under the name uncultured bacterium. Its description in RNAcentral is "partial 16S ribosomal RNA". It matches the Rfam family "Bacterial small subunit ribosomal RNA", at positions 523 to 918 of the family's 1533-position model. The record is from RNAcentral.
AUACGUAGGGAGCGAGCGUUGUCCGGAAUUACUGGGUGUAAAGGGAGCGUAGGCGGGAGUGCAAGUCGGGAGUGAAAUCUAGGGGCUCAACCCCUAAACUGCUUUUGAAACUGUAUCCCUUGAGUAUCGGAGAGGCAGGCGGAAUUCCUAGUGUAGCGGGGAAAUGCGUAGAUAUUAGGAGGAACACCAGUGGCGAAGGCGGCCUGCUGGACGACAACUGACGCUGAGGCGCGAAAGCGUGGGGAGCAAACAGGAUUAGAUACCCUGGUAGUCCACGCUGUAAACGAUGAAUACUAGGUGUGGGGGGACUGACCCCCUCCGUGCCGCAGUUAACACAAUAAGUAUUCCACCUGGGGAGUACGAUCGCAAGAUUGAAACUCAAAUGAAUUGGCGGGG